CGCUGCGUGGCAGAGCGGGAAUGCACCAUGAUCUACCAUUGGACUUCGCUGGUUCGAUCCCAGCCGCAGCUA
This 72-nucleotide transfer RNA is filed under the name Podospora anserina S mat+. RNAcentral's name for it is "tRNA-Val (TAC) (tRNA-Val-TAC-2-1)". The record is from RNAcentral. Lineage: Eukaryota; Fungi; Ascomycota; Sordariomycetes; Sordariales; Podosporaceae.